Molecule: transfer-messenger RNA, 332 nt
Filed under: Clostridium simiarum
Lineage: Bacteria; Bacillati; Bacillota; Clostridia; Eubacteriales; Clostridiaceae
Description: Clostridium sp. MSJ-4 transfer-messenger RNA
Rfam family: transfer-messenger RNA
About the family: Bacterial tmRNA, also known as 10Sa RNA or SsrA, is named for its dual tRNA and mRNA-like properties.
Source: RNAcentral
AAUGGUUUCGACGGGGGUAAGAGAAGUUAGAGAAGCGAGUGGAGGGAACUCUGGGCCCGCCUUAAAAAACUAGGGAUUAAAGAUAAACGCAGAAGAUAAUUUUGCAUUAGCAGCUUAAUAUAGCUGUUCGUUCUACCCGGGAGUCCUACGGCCUGGGAUAGGGCGCCGAUUAGUAGGGAACCGCGCCUAGGAAAGCUUUGACCUAGGAACGGAAAUUAUGAAGCUACUGAAAUGAAGAGCCUGUCUGUCGGCGAUUCAUGGAGGGAAUGUUAAAAGAUAGACUGCACUCGGAGAUGCUCGGCGGAUCUACUUUCGGACAGGGGUUCGAUUCA